CAAGAGCGUAUAUUAAUGCUGUUGCUGUUAAAGGGUUCGUAGUUGAACUGUGGGUUGACUUUCGGUUCUCGUGGCUCCGUCCCUUUCUCCGGAUUGGUGACCGCCACGCCGGCAACCCGUGAACAUUCAGAAACAGAAAUCGCGGGACCGCUUUUCCCAACCACUCACGCAUGUAACGCAUGCACGCGGUGGGACGCCCGUGAUAUUACUGUGACCAAAGAAGCGUGACCAAAGCAGUCAUUUCGACAUGAAUUAGCAAGCAUGGGAUAACAAAGGAGCAACCUUGAGGCUACCGUUUCGGCUUUUGUUGGUUUUAAAGGCCUCUGGGAGAUUAUGGGUGCGCACGAAAAGCAACUUGAGGUCCUCUACAGGAUACUUCAAGGUUUGCCUUCUCAGGGGUCAACCCCCUCGGGACUUGCGAUACCCAGGAAUGAAGGAGGGUUGUUCGGGGGAGAACGUACUUGAGCGUGAGAGGUGAAAUUCUUAGACCGCUCAAAGACGAACUACAGCGAAGGCAUUCUCCAAGGAUACCUNCCUCA
This 539-nucleotide ribosomal RNA is filed under the name uncultured eukaryote. Its description in RNAcentral is "partial 18S ribosomal RNA". It matches the Rfam family "Eukaryotic small subunit ribosomal RNA", at positions 592 to 975 of the family's 1831-position model. The record is from RNAcentral.